GACGAACGCUGGCGGCGUGCUUAACACAUGCAAGUCGUGCGGUAAGGCCCUUUCGGGGGUCCACGAGCGGCGAACGGGUGCGUAACACGUGAGCAACCUGCCCUUCACUUUGGGAUAACUGCCGGAAACGGUGGCUAAUACCGGAUAUGACUUCCUCACGCAUGUGGGGUGGUGGAAAGCCUUCGGGUGGUGGGGGAUGGGCUCGCGGUCUAUCAGCUUGUUGGUGGGGUGAUGGCCUACCAAGGCUUCGACGGGUAGCCGGCCUGAGAGGGUGAUCGGCCACACUGGGACUGAGACAAGGCCCAGACUCCUACGGGAGGCAGCAGUGGGGAAUAUUGGACAAUGGGCGAAAGCCUGAUCCAGCAACGCCGCGUGAGGGAUGACGGCCUUCGGGUUGUAAACCUCUUUCGCCUGCGACGAAGCGAGAGUGACGGUAGCAGGUAAAGAAGCACCGGCCAACUACGUG
RNAcentral lists this ribosomal RNA (466 nucleotides) under uncultured bacterium. Its description in RNAcentral is "partial 16S ribosomal RNA". It matches the Rfam family "Bacterial small subunit ribosomal RNA", at positions 28 to 507 of the family's 1533-position model. The record is from RNAcentral.